CUUGUCGCCAUCUUGAUGUCUCUUCCUGCUACAUGAAGGUGUUGUUAUUCGAAGUGGAUACUCGUCUGCUAAUUAAGUUUAUUGUUGGCGUUCGUCUGCGCAGUACGCCCUCAUGAAUCGUGAGAUUUCUGCCAUGCGGCGCUCCACGGGGUUCGAACUAGGAGAAUAUGUGGAAGUUCGAGAUAUUUUUAUAUCAGCCAGGUCAAGUAUUCUUUUCCAUGGUUUGCUACAAAAAUAUGAUGCAUUAUCUGAUAGAAUGCGCUUAGGUUUUCCUACUUGCGGAGUCCACUUAUUCACUAUGCAAUUUGCUAGGACUUCUCCUGUUAGCUUACCGAUGGGAAAGAACAUGGUGUAUUUAGAGAAUGUGCAUGUUAAUACGAAUAUAUAUUUCUUCCCAUGUUGUGCUAGGGGUAGAGGACCAUAAAUGUCGGCUGAUACUAACUCCAAUGGGGCGGUCGGCAAUAUAGGUAUCAUUGCUCCCCUGACUUGAUAUUUUAAAUGUUUGGUUUUCUGACAUAGGUCGCAUGCUCUUAACACUUUGACUACCUUUUUGUGCAUACCUUUCAGAUAACAGGCUUCUUUUAGUGUACAUAUCGUUUUUCUUACUCCAAAGUGGCCAAUUCUCUCAUGCGUUUCCUUAAUCACUUCUUCCGCUAUUUCCUUAGGUAUUAUGAUUCUCCAGUUAUAAUCUUGUGGUGUGGUGCGGUGAAAUAGGAAUCCACGGUAUCGCGUGUACUGUCGCAGGUAGUGGGGCGGUUCAGAUGGUCCUUCCUCCAGUAUUUCUAAAAUUUGGGAUAGCUUAGGGUCUUCUUUUUGCGCAUUCUGAAUCCUUCUGGGUGUUAGUGUAUUCUUGUAGACUUGAGGUUUGAUAUUUUCGGGAUAUGGUAUGCUUUCGUCCAUUUCCAUUGCGUAGCAUUUCAGGUUUGUGUCGUUACAGUAAGUGGCAUCUAAUUCUCGGGAUAGAAAAUCGGCUGUUUGAUUUUGCUUUCCUGGUAAGUGUGUGAGAUCGAGGUCAAACUCUUGAAGAGCGAGAAACCAUCUUGACAGUCUGUUGUGGUUUAAUUUAGCUGUUUUAAAAAAUGUAAGAGCUUUAUGGUCGGUAUUGAUAUAAAUUUUAUUUCCCAACAGUAGCGUGCGGUAUUUUUUACAGACUUCUACUAUACUUAAUAAUUCCUUUUCAGUAAUCGAAUAGCGUCUUUGUGCUGGAUUUAGGGUUUUACUGAAAAAAGCUAGUACUCCCUUAUCUCCUUCGGCACUUUUCUGAAAUAUUUCUGCUCCUAUGGCGUAAUCUGAGGCGUCUACAUUUAUGUAAAAUGGCUGGCUCAUAUCGGGAUGACUUAAUACAACUAUUUCAAGGAAAGCUUCUUUUAAUUCUCGAAAUAUCUUCUCUUCUGCUUCUGUCCACUUCCAUGCUUUGUUGGUAGAUAAUACGUGACUUAAUUGGGCAGUGUAGUGUGACAUACGGCUGUUGAAACGUCUAUAGAAUUGAAGAAAUCCAAUGAAUUUCUGUAGUUGCUUUCGGUUGGUUGGUGAAGGGAAUUUUCUGAUGGCUUCUAAUUUACUGCUAUCCUGGGAGAUGCCGUCCGGGGUGAUGAUAUGUCCCAAAUAUUUGACUUGUUGUGCAAAAAAUUCGCAUUUUGAUAAUUUCAAUUUGAGUCCACAUCUGAUGAGGCGACGAAAUAUUAUAUCUAGGUGUUGACAAUGGUCCUGAAUAUUUGUUGAAGAAAUAAUUCCAUCAUCCACGUAGAGUGUACAGAAAUCCGUGACAUCUUCUCCUACGGCUUGACGAAGGCAACGAAUAAAUAUGGCCAUGGCGUUCCUCAGUCCAAAAGCUAGGCGAGUGAAGCGGUAAUUUCUUCCGUUGAAUAAGAAUGAUAGAUAAUCUCUUGAUUCUGCCGCUAUCUGGAUCUGCCAAUAACCUGCGCUUAGGUCAACUGUAGAAUAUACAUUCUUCCCACUAAAGGUUUGAAGCACCUGUUCUAUCUGGUCUGGGCUCUCACGGUCAUCUUCCAAAAUGCUGUUAAGUGCUCGCGCGUCCAGACAUAAUCUCACGGUACCGUCUUUCUUAGCAACACAAACAAUUGGUAAGCUAUAUUGAGAGCUUGAUGGUUCAAUAAUCCCCAAUUCUAACAUUCUGUCUAUCUCUGCUAUAGCUGCCGGGCGGUAUGUAAAUGGUAUUGGAUAAGAUUUUCGGUAAUAGGCUUCAUGAGGUUUGACUUUGAGUCGGCAUUCAAAAUCUUUAGCUAGUCCUGGCUGUUCUGAGAAGACAUCUCUAUUUUCAAUGAAAACCUUCGCGACACUGUUUUUUGUAUCUAAAUCCCAUUCAGCAUAACAGUUUAUCCUAUCCAAUAAUUUUCCGAGCAUUUCUUCAGAGGAAACCUCUUUAUCAAUCACGCCGUCAUCCGUCGUUGUUAAACUCAACACUUCAAAAUGCUCCAUGGUUUC
RNAcentral lists this long non-coding RNA (2445 nucleotides) under Nilaparvata lugens (brown planthopper). RNAcentral describes it as "uncharacterized LOC120354048". Lineage: Eukaryota; Metazoa; Arthropoda; Insecta; Hemiptera; Delphacidae. The record is from RNAcentral.